UGGCGGACGGGUGAGUAACACGUGAGCAACCUACCCUUGACUCUGGGAUAACAGUUGGAAACAGCUGCUAAUACCGGAUACGACCCCGGCGGGCAUCUGCUGGGGUGGAAAGCUCCGACGGCCAGGGAUGGGCUCGCGGCCUAUCAGCUUGUUGGUGAGGUAACGGCUCACCAAGGCGACGACGGGUAGCCGGCCUGAGAGGGCGACCGGCCACAUUGGGACUGAGAUACGGCCCAAACUCCUACGGGAGGCAGCAGUGGGGAAUAUUGCGCAAUGGGCGGAAGCCUGACGCAGCAACGCCGCGUGCGGGAUGACGGCCUUCGGGUUGUAAACCGCUUUCAGCAGGGACGAAGCUUUUGUGACGGUACCUGCAGAAGAAGCACCGGCUAACUACGUGCCAGCAGCCGCGGUAAU
Molecule: ribosomal RNA, 414 nt
Filed under: uncultured bacterium
Lineage: Bacteria
Description: bacterial SSU rRNA
Rfam family: Bacterial small subunit ribosomal RNA
Source: RNAcentral